GAUUAUACAGCAACAAGGAAGUUGGCAACAAUAAUUUAAAGGGUUGGUCCUUAUCUCCAGUGUUACAAUGCUACGUCAGUGCACUUGGUAGAACGGAUAAAGCCGUGCUUGGGAUGGUUUACGACACAUUUGGAUUUUAAGCUCUGUAGAAUUCAAUUAAAUGAUGAAAGAAAAUGCAGGACACGGAUCGCAAUUCAACGGGAACGUGGAAGAAUCACAAAGAUAUUGCUGCACAAUCAUCAAAGAGUUUUGUUGGCCUGGAGCACCAAACUCAGCAAAUGAACCAAGUUCCAAACCAACAUCAGCAUGUUCACAGAGUGGCAUCGAAAGAUCUGGAGGAAGUUUUUAGGACAACAACAAAUUCUUGACUUAAACAAGCCACACUGGAUUUGAUCUCCAUGGAAUGCUCAACAGCUUAUACACAUGGAGCGGCGUGAGCAUGGUCGAUGCCUGGAGGGGACCACUGGAAUGAUAUCAUGUUCCAGUUAAACUUUAAGGGACCUUUUGUCAGAAAACCUCAACCGAUUGAAGUGGUACAGAAGGAAGAGGCUCGAUCACAGUGCUGUUUUUUCGGCUAUAAAACAACACUGUACUAAUGCUCCAGAAAGAAAUCGCUUUUUGAAGCAUUGUUAAAAUUAGAAAUUUAUCCAUGCACAUUAUGUCAUUAUAGCAAUUCUCAGUCACCGGUAGGAAACUUGUGUCAUGCAAACAAAUGCUUUCGACGUAUUAUAUACGUUAUAUGAGUGAAUAGCCUAAUAUAAUGAACCACUGAUUGAUGUUAUAUCAUUUAACAGAUAAUUUAAGAGGAAAUGCGUUUUAGCAUUUUUUUUGUACAAUUCCUUUAGCAUAAUACCAAGCACAGAUCUUUGGACAACGGACUUUGAACAAGGCAUGUUAUAACUGUAAAUGUAUAAAAUGUCAUGGCAUACAUCUGAACAGUGCUGAGGUAUGUAGGCUUAACCCUUAAACUCCACAAAGGUUAUUGUAAUUUAUGUGUCACAUUUAUUACACUGUAAUUAUUAAAUAUAAUUUAAGGUGAAUAAUUGAUAAGAAGCAGCGUUACGCAGCUUAUGGGUGUUUAAACUCACAGAACCGUUGUGUACUUUUUAAUGCACAGUGCUUAUUUCUAAUUCAGUUCAUGGAAUAUUCUUUAUCAAAAUAUAUUGUUAAAAUGAUAUACGCUCACUGAGGACCUUUAUAAGUACAAUGUACUAACACGUAGUAGGACCUUUGCCUUCAAAGCAGCCUUGACUCUGCAUGUCAUGGAUUCCACAAGAUGAUGAAAUUUCAAUAAUUCUUUGGGAUUUUUUUUCCCAAUGAUUGCCUCAGAUAAAUCCUGCAGAUUGUUCAUGAUGUGAAUUUCUUGUUCUACCACAUUACAAAGGAUCUCUACUAAAUUUAGAUCAGCGACUGUGAAGCUCACUGAAGACAAUAAACUCAUUGUCAUGUUCAUAAAAGCAGGUUAUGAUGACUCUUGCUUUAUGACAUGGUGCAUUAUCCUGCUGGAAGUAGCCAUUGGUCAAGAUCACGCAAAGAUAACUGCAUGAACACAUGAGUGUAAAGGUGUUCCUUACGAAGUACUCAGUGAUUGUAGCUUUUAUUUGUAAUCCAAUGGGAUUCUGUUGAUUUUUUUUUAAAAAUAUAUUGCAUUUUAGCAACUAAAUAUGGCAUUGCUACUGUAUAUAAGACUAUACAUGUAAUAUAUCGUCGCUUUGUCGGGCGGAAACCUCGUAUGUCCAAAUUUUGUCAUUUUCAUAUUUUUUCACAUAUCGAUGCUAUUGGUCAGUCCCCACGUGGUUCUGUUAUUUUUACAAGUUAUUAACCAAUCUAAAGUCUUGAAAAUAGCUUGAGCGCAAAUCUCAUAACUAGAUUGGACACUUCAACUGUCCACCUCUUCCUCACUCCGCGGGAGAGCUUCGCGGCAUAUUUCUCCUCAAGAAGAGUAGCAACAAAUCAACACGUCUUCUGAGGUAAAUGUCUUCAAAACACUGGGCUCAAAGAAAAAAAAAUCUUGACCCCCACUAGUUUUGGUGGUCAUUUGAGGACAGGAAUUUAGCGCAAGACAAUCCAAUGCAACACGGACUAAACCCUGUGCAUUGCAGAUAAGGUACGGCGUUUUUUUAAUUUCCUGAAAAAUAACGGUUUUGGAGAUACGAGGAUUCCGCCUGACAGCGACGAUAUAUUUGUGUAAAGGUAUUUUUUGUACAUGCCUGUGAUUAACUGAUUGUAAAGAGUAUGAUGUAAAAUACUUGCAAGGACUGUUUUACUACAUUUCUAAACAAAUAUAUUUUAUGAAUAUAUAAAUAUAUAAAAAAAUUUGAUCACAGUGA
This is a long non-coding RNA of Tachysurus vachellii, 2330 nucleotides long. RefSeq lists it as uncharacterized. The transcript is spliced from 2 exons. Lineage: Eukaryota; Metazoa; Chordata; Actinopteri; Siluriformes; Bagridae. The record is from RefSeq and is a predicted model, not a curated record.